CUUGGUCAUUUAGAGGAAGUAAAAGUCGUAGCAAGGUUUCCGUAGGUGAACCUGCGGAAGGAUCAUUACCGAAUCUCGGGGGGAUGUCUAGUAUUUCGGAGUGCUGUCGCUGGCCUUCGGGCAAUGUGCACGUCUCCGGAGUCCGACGGCGUCCCCUCUCCGAUACCUUCUUAAACACCUGUGUGCACCUGUUGUAGGUCUCGUCACUGGGACCUAUGUAUUCCAUAUAAACUCGCAUGUAUACAGAACGUUGUCCAAUAUAAUAUAACUUUCAGCAACGGAUCUCUUGGCUCUCGCAUCGAUGAAGAACGCAGCGAAUCGCGAUAAGUAAUGUGAAUUGCAGAUUUUCCGUGAAUCAUCGAAUCUUUGAACGCACCUUGCGCUCCUCGGUAUUCCGAGGAGCAUGCCUGUUUGAGUGUCAUCGAAAUCUCAAAUCCCGCUCGGGGUUUGGACUUUGGGAGUCUGCCGGCGACCCGACCUCGGGACGUCGGCUCUCCUCAAAUGCAUUAGCGGUGGGCGCGAGCCUUUGCACGGCACGGCCUGUUUUCGACGUCGUAGUGAUCGUCGCGGGCUGGAAGUGCUCGGAUCGACAUGUCUCAUGCUUCCAAGCUUAGUAAAUAUUUAAGGCUUGACCUCAAAUCAGGCAGGACUACCCGCUGAACUUAAGCAUAUCAAUAAGCGGAGGA
RNAcentral lists this ribosomal RNA (686 nucleotides) under uncultured Basidiomycota. RNAcentral's name for it is "eukaryotic LSU rRNA". The stretch from base 267 to 421 matches the Rfam family "5.8S ribosomal RNA". The record is from RNAcentral. Lineage: Eukaryota; Fungi; Basidiomycota.